Long non-coding RNA from Haliotis rubra (blacklip abalone), 262 nucleotides. RefSeq lists it as uncharacterized. The transcript has 3 exons. NCBI's taxonomy places the organism in Eukaryota, Metazoa, Mollusca, Gastropoda, Lepetellida, Haliotidae. The record is from RefSeq and is a predicted model, not a curated record.
UGGUGGCGUGGCUAGGGGAAACUUCUUCUGGCUAUGGGGGCGGCACUCCUGGCAUAGGCAAUAGAUAUGUGGCAGGCAAUCUGUGGCUUGAUAAACUGGGAGUGUCAGCAAAAUAUGGUUUAAAAAGGGUCAUGCGCCAGUCAUUCUUCGGAGGGCAUCACUCACUUCUUGAUGACAACAGCGACCCUACUCCUGACUAUUGGUUGACGCUUCUUUACAAGAGACUUGUUGGCAACAAAGUAUUUGAUGUUCCAUCCUCAUC